RNAcentral lists this ribosomal RNA (249 nucleotides) under uncultured Actinomycetales bacterium. RNAcentral's name for it is "partial 16S ribosomal RNA". It matches the Rfam family "Bacterial small subunit ribosomal RNA", at positions 84 to 334 of the family's 1533-position model. The record is from RNAcentral. Lineage: Bacteria; Bacillati; Actinomycetota; Actinomycetes; Actinomycetales.
GGGGUACUCGAGUGGCGAACGGGUGAGUAACACGUGAGUAACCUGCCCUUGACUUUGGGAUAACUUCAGGAAACUGGGGCUAAUACCGGAUAGGAGCUCCUGCUGCAUGGUGGGGGUUGGAAAGUUUCGGCGGUUGGGGAUGGACUCGCGGCUUAUCAGCUUGUUGGUGGGGUAGUGGCUUACCAAGGCUUUGACGGGUAGCCGGCCUGAGGGGGUGACCGGCCACAUUGGGACUGAGAUACGGCCCAG